Molecule: ribosomal RNA, 455 nt
Filed under: Osteocephalus taurinus (Manaus slender-legged treefrog)
Lineage: Eukaryota; Metazoa; Chordata; Amphibia; Anura; Hylidae
Description: partial 16S ribosomal RNA
Rfam family: Bacterial large subunit ribosomal RNA
Source: RNAcentral
AUAAGAGGUCCAGCCUGCCCAGUGACUUUGUUCAACGGCCGCGGUAUCCUAACCGUGCGAAGGUAGCGUAAUCACUUGUCUUUUAAAUGGGGACUUGUAUGAAUGGCAUCACGAGGRUUAUACUGUCUCCUUUUUCUAAUCAGUGAAACUAAUCUUCCCGUGAAGAAGCGGGAAUAAACAUAUAAGACGAGAAGACCCUAUGGAGCUUUAAACUUAAUAACAAAUACUAACCUUUCAUCAACCUUCAGAAUAUUAACCUUAAUUUUAGUAUUAUGAUUAUUAGUUUUAGGUUGGGGUGACCGCGGAGUAAAAAUUAACCUCCACAUUGAACGGGACCUGUCCCUGAGCCAAGAACUACAGCUCGAAGCACCAACAAAUUGACAUUAAUUGACCCAAUAUUUUGAUCAACGAACCAAGUUACCCUAGGGAUAACAGCGCAAUCCACUUCAAGAGCU